CCUACGGGUGACAGCAGUGGGGGAUAUUGGACAAUGGGCGCAAGCCUGACCCAGCAACGCCGCGUGAAGGAAGAAGGCUUUCGGGUUGUAAACUUCUUUUGACAGGGAAGAGUAGAAGACGGUACCUGUCGAAUAAGCCACGGCUAACUACGGGCCAGCAGCCGCGGUAAUACGUAGGGGGCAAGCGUUGUCCGGAUUUACUGGGUGUAAAGGGCGUGUAGCCGGGUUGACAAGUCAGAUGUGAAAUCCUGCGGCUUAACCGCAGAACUGCAUUUUAAACUGUUGAUCUUGAGUAAUGGAGAGGCAGACGGAAUUCCUAGUGUAGCGGUGAAAUGCGUAGAUAUUAGGAGGAACACCAGUGGCGAAGGCGGCUUACUGGACUGUAACUGACGUUGAGGCUCGAAAGCGUGGGGAGCAAACAGGAUUAGAUACCCGGGUAGUC
RNAcentral lists this ribosomal RNA (442 nucleotides) under uncultured bacterium. RNAcentral describes it as "partial 16S ribosomal RNA". It matches the Rfam family "Bacterial small subunit ribosomal RNA", at positions 338 to 795 of the family's 1533-position model. The record is from RNAcentral.